Molecule: ribosomal RNA, 253 nt
Filed under: uncultured bacterium
Lineage: Bacteria
Description: partial 16S ribosomal RNA
Rfam family: Bacterial small subunit ribosomal RNA
Source: RNAcentral
UACGGAGGGGGCUAGCGUUGUUCGGAAUUACUGGGCGUAAAGCGCGCGUAGGCGGACCUGCAAGUCGGGGGUGAAAGCCCGAGGCUCAACCUCGGAACUGCCUUCGAUACUGCGGGUCUCGAGUCCGGGAGAGGUGAGUGGAAUUCCUAGUGUAGAGGUGAAAUUCGUAGAUAUUAGGAAGAACACCAGUGGCGAAGGCGGCUCACUGGCUCGGUACUGACGCUGAGGCGCGAAAGCGUGGGGAGCGAACAGG